AUCCCUGCCUGUCCUGGAACUUGCUCUGUAAAUCAGACUGACCUCGAACUCAGAGAUCUGCCUACCAUCUGCCUCCCAAGUGCUGGGAUUAAAGGUGCUCACCAGUACUGCCUGAUUAACAAGAUAUUUACUUUUUCAUAAAGAAUUAAAUCUUGGAACAAGAAAGACGGCAGUUAGUAAAUCAUCUGCCUUGCAAAUGUGAAGACCUGAGUUCAAAUCCUCAAACCCAGUAUGUAUCCAGACUGACUUUGAACUCGUGGCAAUCCUGCUUCAGCCUCGAAGGUGCUGGGACUUCAGGCAUGGACUUCACACCCUUUCUAAUGAUCCACAGGGAAUCCAUUCUGAUUCUGGAUACAAGCACCGUCCUCUACAUUAGCCCGGUUAGGAAUCUCGGACCACACACAGCAAGGAGCCCCUGUACCACCCACCCCUGAAGGUGAUGCCUGUCCUGACCUUCUAUGUGAGCCUCAAUCUCUCUGUGGGUCCUAUGUGGACCUCAGGCAGGAACAUCACUGGCAUACCACUGGUUACUUCCCUGUCCUCCAUAAGACACCUUAAAUAAUAAACUCAUUUUUGACUUCCA
Molecule: non-coding RNA, 583 nt
Organism: Myodes glareolus (Bank vole)
Lineage: Eukaryota; Metazoa; Chordata; Mammalia; Rodentia; Cricetidae
Source: RefSeq, a predicted model, not a curated record